This 459-nucleotide ribosomal RNA is filed under the name uncultured bacterium. Its description in RNAcentral is "partial 16S ribosomal RNA". It matches the Rfam family "Bacterial small subunit ribosomal RNA", at positions 338 to 795 of the family's 1533-position model. The record is from RNAcentral.
GCUACGGGGUGCUGCAGUGAGGAAUAUUGGUCAAUGGGCUUACGCCUGAACCAGCCAAGUCGCGUGAGGGAAGACUGCCCUAUGGGUUGUAAACCUCUUUUGUCAAGGGACAAAAUCAGGCUCGAGAGCCUGACCGAGGGUACUUGAAGAAAAAGCAUCGGCUAACUCCGUGCCAGCAGCCGCGGUAAUACGGAGGAUGCGAGCGUUAUCCGGAUUUAUUGGGUUUAAAGGGUGCGUAGGCGGACUGUUAAGUCAGCGGUAAAAGCCCGGGGCUCAACCCCGGCGAGCCGUUGAAACUGGCUGUCUUGAGAUGUCGAGAGGUAUGCGGAAUGCGCAGUGUAGCGGUGAAAUGCUUAGAUAUUGCGCAGAACUCCGAUUGCGAAGGCAGCAUACCGGCGGCGAUCUGACGCUGAGGCACGAAAGCGUGGGUAUCGAACAGGAUUAGAUACCCCAGUAGUC